ACUCAAAGGAAUUGACGGGGACCCGCACAAGCGGAGGAUGAUGUGGUUUAAUUUGACGCUACGCGAAGAACCUUACCCAGGCUUGACAUCCUAGGAACCUUCGGGAAACCGAGGGGUGCCUUAGGGAGCCUAGUGACAGGUGCUGCAUGGCCGUCGUCAGCUCGUGUCGUGAGAUGUUGGGUUAAGUCCCGCAACGAGCGCAACCCUUAUCGUAUGUUGUAUUUUUCAUGCGAGACUGCCCGGGCCAACCGGGAGGAAGGUGGGGAUGAAGUCAGGUCAGCAUGGCCCUUACGCCUGGGGCUACACACGUCAUACAAUGGCCGGUACAACGCGCCGCUAAGCCGCGAGGCGGAGCUAAUCGCACCAAAACCGGUCCCAGUUCGGAUUGCAGGCUGCAACUCGCCUGCAUGAAGUCGGAUUCGCUAGUAAACGUGGGUCAGCAUACCACGUUGAAUACGUUCCCGGGUCUUGUACACACCGCCCGU
RNAcentral lists this ribosomal RNA (485 nucleotides) under uncultured bacterium. RNAcentral describes it as "partial 16S ribosomal RNA". It matches the Rfam family "Bacterial small subunit ribosomal RNA", at positions 899 to 1397 of the family's 1533-position model. The record is from RNAcentral.